RNAcentral lists this long non-coding RNA (284 nucleotides) under Hordeum vulgare. Its description in RNAcentral is "long non-coding RNA (HVUL_LNC013462)". Lineage: Eukaryota; Viridiplantae; Streptophyta; Magnoliopsida; Poales; Poaceae. The record is from RNAcentral.
GAGAGUCCGAGUCGGUAACGAUCACGAUCCGACGUCUCGGAUCGUUUCCUUGUCCGUUACGUAUUCUCCGUUCCUGACCGGCAAAAAUAAGCGCGUAGGUAUGAGCUCGGCUCGGCUCAUUCCCGCAACCCGCGGCGCGUCGUGACGAGGCGUGGCGUGGCGAGGCGGGCGGCGGAGGAGGAGUGCGCGAGGGCACCUUCUCUUCUCACUCUCCAAUAGCAUGUGGAAGAGAGACCCUUAUAAAGGGGUCCAAACUCUCCUCCACUAGCGGGGUGGGACUAAAC